This 800-nucleotide ribosomal RNA is filed under the name uncultured bacterium. RNAcentral's name for it is "bacterial SSU rRNA". It matches the Rfam family "Bacterial small subunit ribosomal RNA", at positions 8 to 796 of the family's 1533-position model. The record is from RNAcentral.
AGAGUUUGAUCAUGGCUCAGAUUGAACGCUGGCGGCAGGCCUAACACAUGCAAGUCGAACGGUAACAGAAAGCAGCUUGCUGCUUUGCUGACGAGUGGCGGACGGGUGAGUAAUGUCUGGGAAACUGCCUGAUGGAGGGGGAUAACUACUGGAAACGGUAGCUAAUACCGCAUAACGUCGCAAGACCAAAGAGGGGGACCUUCGGGCCUCUUGCCAUCGGAUGUGCCCAGAUGGGAUUAGCUAGUAGGUGGGGUAAAGGCUCACCUAGGCGACGAUCCCUAGCUGGUCUGAGAGGAUGACCAGCCACACUGGAACUGAGACACGGUCCAGACUCCUACGGGAGGCAGCAGUGGGGAAUAUUGCACAAUGGGCGCAAGCCUGAUGCAACCAUGCCGCGUGUAUGAAGAAGGCCUUCGGGUUGUAAAGUACUUUCAGCGGGGAGGAAGGGAGUAAAGUUAAUACCUUUGCUCAUUGACGUUACCCGCAGAAGAAGCACCGGCUAACUCCGUGCCAGCAGCCGCGGUAAUACGGAGGGUGCAAGCGUUAAUCGGAAUUACUGGGCGUAAAGCGCACGCAGGCGGUUUGUUAAGUCAGAUGUGAAAUCCCCGGGCUCAACCUGGGAACUGCAUCUGAUACUGGCAAGCUUGAGUCUCGUAGAGGGGGGUAGAAUUCCAGGUGUAGCGGUGAAAUGCGUAGAGAUCUGGAGGAAUACCGGUGGCGAAGGCGGCCCCCUGGACGAAGACUGACGCUCAGGUGCGAAAGCGUGGGGAGCAAACAGGAUUAGAUACCCUUGGUAGUCC